UAGAGAUGUGUGAUGACGCAUAUCAAUAAGCGGAGGGAAAAGAAACUAACUAGGAUUCCCUUAGUAACGGCGAGUGAAGCGGGAAGAGCUCAAAUUUGAAAUCUUCAAGGUUCUACCUUGACGAAUUGUAGUUUAAGGAAGUGUUUUCUGUUGGAGUUUUGGUAAAAGUUCUUUGGAAUAGGACAUCAUAGAGGGUGAGAAUCCCGUAUUUGGUCAUUCCUCCUAGCGUUGUGAUACACUUUCAACGAGUCGGAUUGUUUGGGAAUGCAGUCCAAAAUGGGUGGUAAAUUUCAUCUAAAGCUAAAUAUUGGCGAGAGACCGAUAGCGAACAAGUACCGUGAGGGAAAGAUGAAAAGAACUUUGAAAAGAGAGUUAAACAGUACGUGAAAUUGUCAAAAGGGAAGCGUUUGACACCAGUGUUGUUUUUCCGAAAAUCAAUUACGAAUGUUUUGUUUUUGAGGAGUUAUGGACUUCAUCGGCUUGCUUCUUUCUUUACGAAACUUUCUUAAUGCACUUUUCGGUUAACAAGUCAACAUCAAUUUCUUUUGUUGUAAAAGGGUACGAGGAAGGUGGCUUUCUAUUCGGAGAAAGUGUUUAUAGCCUUGUACCUCUGCAAUCGGAGAGAUUGAGGUCUGCAGCGUAGAUCCUUCGGGGUUAGAUACAUUUGUGCUAAGUUAUAGCUUUUCAUAGACAACUUGUUGACUAUGUUAAGUCUUGUAGCUUACUCGCUUAUGCUAUUUUACCUACGCUUAGGAUGUUGAAGAUGUAGCACAUCAU
Molecule: ribosomal RNA, 777 nt
Filed under: uncultured Neocallimastigales
Lineage: Eukaryota; Fungi; Neocallimastigomycota; Neocallimastigomycetes; Neocallimastigales
Description: partial large subunit ribosomal RNA
Rfam family: Eukaryotic large subunit ribosomal RNA
Source: RNAcentral